This 326-nucleotide ribosomal RNA is filed under the name Streptococcus sp. 67. RNAcentral's name for it is "bacterial SSU rRNA". It matches the Rfam family "Bacterial small subunit ribosomal RNA", at positions 20 to 336 of the family's 1533-position model. The record is from RNAcentral. Lineage: Bacteria; Bacillati; Bacillota; Bacilli; Lactobacillales; Streptococcaceae.
UGGCUCAGGACGAACGCUGGCGGCGUGCCUAAUACAUGCAAGUAGAACGCUGAAAUCUGGUGCUUGCACCGGAUGGAUGAGUUGCGAACGGGUGAGUAACGCGUAGGUAACCUACCUCAUAGCGGGGGAUAACUAUUGGAAACGAUAGCUAAUACCGCAUAAUAGUCAUUAACACAUGUUAGAGACUUGAAAGGGGCAACUGCUUCACUAUGAGAUGGACCUGCGUUGUAUUAGCUAGUAGGUAGGGUAAAGGCCUACCUAGGCGACGAUACAUAGCCGACCUGAGAGGGUGAUCGGCCACACUGGGACUGAGACACGGCCCAGAA